RNAcentral lists this ribosomal RNA (431 nucleotides) under uncultured bacterium. Its description in RNAcentral is "partial 16S ribosomal RNA". It matches the Rfam family "Bacterial small subunit ribosomal RNA", at positions 338 to 795 of the family's 1533-position model. The record is from RNAcentral.
CCUACGGGGGGCAGCAGUGGGGAAUAUUGGACAAUGGGCGCAAGCCUGAUCCAGCAAUGCCGCGUGUGUGAAGAAGGCCUUCGGGUUGUAAAGCACUUUAAGCAGGGAAGCGGUACCUGAAGAAUAAGCACCGGCUAACUCUGUGCCAGCAGCCGCGGUAAUACAGAGGGUGCGAGCGUUAAUCGGAUUUACUGGGCGUAAAGCGUGUGUAGGUGGUUAUCCAAGUCGGUUGUGAAAUCCCUGGGCUCAACCUGGGAACUGCUUCCGAGACUGGAUGACUAGAGUACGGUAGAGGGUGGUGGAAUUUCCGGUGUAGCGGUGAAAUGCGUAGAUAUCGGAAGGAACAUCAAUGGCGAAGGCAGCCACCUGGCUGUACUGACACUGAGACACGAAAGCGUGGGGAUCAAACAGGAUUAGAUACCCUUGUAGUC